Polypterus senegalus (gray bichir) is the source of this 138-nucleotide small nucleolar RNA. RefSeq annotates it as small nucleolar RNA SNORA5. The record is from RefSeq and is a predicted model, not a curated record. Lineage: Eukaryota; Metazoa; Chordata; Cladistia; Polypteriformes; Polypteridae. The transcript has a single exon.
UUCAGUUCAGUUUAUUUUUGUAUAGUGCUCUCGAUUGAGUGCAGGCCCAGAUCACUGUAACAAAGAAACACUUCUGAAAACCGGGCCCAAGGUAUCAUUUAAAUCCUGAAUUUGGGAUAAUCUGUUUUAAUGAGAUUU